GCAGCAGUAGCUCACCUGGAUAGAGCAAUAGUUUCCUAAACUGUAGGUAGUGAGUUCGAGUCUCACCUGCUGCA
This 74-nucleotide transfer RNA is filed under the name Lacticaseibacillus manihotivorans. Its description in RNAcentral is "Lactobacillus manihotivorans tRNA-Arg". It matches the Rfam family "tRNA". From Rfam's summary of the family: Transfer RNA (tRNA) molecules are approximately 80 nucleotides in length. Their secondary structure includes four short double-helical elements and three loops (D, anti-codon, and T loops). The record is from RNAcentral. Lineage: Bacteria; Bacillati; Bacillota; Bacilli; Lactobacillales; Lactobacillaceae. RNAcentral also lists the same sequence under 1 other name.